Molecule: long non-coding RNA, 1400 nt
Organism: Sorghum bicolor (sorghum)
Lineage: Eukaryota; Viridiplantae; Streptophyta; Magnoliopsida; Poales; Poaceae
Exons: 3
Source: RefSeq, a predicted model, not a curated record
GCACACGCAUUCACCUUUCUCCAGUCUGUAUCUCAUGACCUCUGCUUCUUUCCCCCUUCCUGCAACCUGUGACGCUCAGGCUUGCUUCACUAAAUCCACACCCAUGGCUGGAGCUCUUCAGCUAUUACUAACCCAAAUCAAGUUCCCCAGAGCACUAGUUGCUAUCUGUCUAUUUUCCCUCUUCGAUUCAGUGUUCUAGUGCCCUACAUUUUGGGAACCAAGCUCCAGUGCCCGCCAAGAUGGUGCCCAUAUGUGCAGGCACGGCUGUGUGGUGGCACUGGGCCGGCGCCGACUCUGUGCAGUCACUUCUUACUGGAGCAACACAUGCAUUCCCUGAGGACCAAGGUGUCAGCUCAUGCAGAAGAUUUUAGCAUUCGAUACCUGCAUAUCCUAAACUACACAAUGGUGACCUACCAUUUGGCUGCAUAGGCUACGCUACAGGGGGAAACCCAGCCAGACUCCACAAUUGUCAUUGAUCUUCAGCUGUCCUGAUUUUAUGAAUGACACACCUUUUUGUUCUUUAGACAAUAUUAUCAAACAGAACACAUCCAUGUAACAAUGAGCAACAUGGCAAUACUUUGAGUGAGGUUUGGGAUGGUCAAGAGCUUAUGCUCACUUUUAGAAGAAAUGUGUCUGAAACUUUAUGAGUAUGACGUGGGAUUUAUGCAGCAUGGUUGAGGGAAUCUCUCUCACUUAUGAGGAAGAUCAAAUGGUAUGGAGCUUUACUUCUAAUGGUUUUGUAGUGGAGUUUUCCCUAUGUAUAUGUAUUCAAUUUGGAAGUUGGUAAUACCCCCUAGGGUUUAAUUCUUCUUAUGGCUGUUGUCACACAAUAGAUUACUGACUAGGGACAAUAGUCUAGCGAAAAGAAGGGAUGUCAGUGACUUGACCUGCCUUUUCUGUACAGAGAAGGAAUCAAUUGCCCAUUUUUUCUUUGAGUGCUGUGUUGCUGUUGAUGUGUUGAAUCUGAUGUCUGAGGUUCUGGAGUUAGAUAUCAGAAAAGACUACGAGUCUGUAGGGUGUGGUUUGGUUGGGCGUGAAGAUGGUGUUGAUCCGGAUUUUAUGAUUGCUAAGGAGGUGGCUGCCGCUGUACAUACAGGAAACUGUAGUGUUGAUGGAAGGAAUUAUCAGCAAGAUGGAAGAGAUAGCAAGUUGUUCGGCUCAGGUCACAUGGAAGAUGAAAAGUGCAAGAUUUCGUCAUCACAGUUGGAUCCAUAGGAUGCUCAGUCCUUAGUCUUCUGCACUGCCAGGAAUAAUAGUUUUCAUGCACUUGAGUUUGUAAUGAGCACCUAAGCUAGACUUAAGUCUGCACUUCGCUUAUGGUGAGAGCGCCAAAACUUUGUCUUUACUCGAUGGUUUGCUUUUUGAAAUAUAAAAGCAGGGGUGACCUUUUGUCUAAAAAA